Molecule: long non-coding RNA, 1640 nt
Organism: Physella acuta
Lineage: Eukaryota; Metazoa; Mollusca; Gastropoda; Physidae
Source: RefSeq, a predicted model, not a curated record
UCUAUCGUUUUGGGUACGUAAAAUCGCCCGCGGCUAUUAAUGUACGAAAAAGUUACCUCAUUGUCAAGGCUUUAGUAGAAGUAUAUUGUGAUAUAUUUGUGUCAAAUAUUAUAGAUAAAUGAAUAAUAAACCUAAAUCAAUGGCUAAAUAUAUCAAUAUAUGCCAGAAAUUAACUUUAAACAGCAGUGUUUGCGAGCAAGAUUUGCUAUAUAAACAGCAGCCAUUUGUAAAAUAGAGUGACUUCCGCCUGUCUCGCGCUAUAUCCGCUAUAAAAAAAAACUUAAACAAGAUGGCUGCUAUAGUAAAUGAGCAUGGUUGCAUCUGUUGGAAAUAUCGCUAGUCUUCAUUUAUUACUGAAAAGUUUUAAUUCAAUUGUUUAAAAACAGAAUUAUCCAUUGUAGACACAUGUCAUCAUCUUCAACAUGUGAUUCUUAGGGCCAUUUCUACACAGAGACAGCCUUGUGGCUGGGAACAUCUUAUGGCUCCAAGUGAGUAGCUCGCAGAGCGGUUUUAAGGGUUGACGACUGAUGAUGCUAAACAGAUUUUACCCUUGCUAGAGCCUUCAAACAAGUUGAAAUGGGAUUGAUGAUAGGGCCGUAUUAAUGUUUAACUGGACUGUCACGUCAAAAUUAUGAAAUGGCAAAUUCAAAGUGGCUACCAGACAAUCCUUGUUACUAUGUGGACCAACUCAACUAUUCACAGGGAACGAAGUUAAGUUGUUCUAUAGGAUGUUGAGAACCACAGUAUGGCAUCUUCAUCAUUGGAUAUCUCAACCAGUGUGGCACAAGCAACGAAGAACUCAUUCUAUUAAAAAUAUAAUAUCUGGAGAAAUUUAUAAUGGCCUAUCCAGAACUUUCCUUACAGAAGGGAAGAAAACCAAGCCCCCCCCUUACAUACAUUUCCCAAAAUAUAUUGCUUACUCUUGAAGCUCCACCAGAUCAAGGUUGAUGGUAACAAGACUUAGAAUGUUUUGGAGUUUAAAAGACUAUUCCAUCACAGCAGUUAUCAAUCUGAUUAGGUUUGCAAAGAAACCAAAGCAUAUGGCGUCAACUGCUGCAUCACUUGUGGGGACAAACUAUUAGACUACAUUACAACUGCACUUAAUUUAGAUUCAGUUUCUCCUGCACUAGAUAAGUGUAGCAUUUAUAGAAAUAACAUUUUGACUCAUGUGAUUUUUGAAAAUAAUGAACACAUUCUUUCUGUUAAUGUUACCAACACAAAAAUUUAAAUUUUGAAUUGUAUGUUUUUUUUGGUAUGAAAAUAAAAACGACCAAAACGCACUCUUGUAAUUUUCAAUAAUUUUUUUUUACCUUAGAAAGAACCAUUUUAGAUGGCUGAAAAAUUGGGCAUAUAUAUUACAAACUUUCCAGCAACUUUACAGAUUUCUACACUUCUAGGUUAUUUAUUCUAGAAAAUAUUGGUUCUCAAAAAUGGCACUUUUUGAAAAUCAGUUAUUUUACCAAAUUUAUUUCAUAGUUUUGUUAGUUGUUUAUAAUAAAUACUAAAUAUUUAUGUAAAUAUAAAUGUAACCCAAAUCAACUGCAUGUCAAACAAAUGACUAAAAAGUGGAAUAUAAAUUUCACAUAAUAAAAUUUUUGAGAAAAAAGUUUGUUAUACUCAAAUCACAAAUGGGAAAAUGC